UACGUAGGGGGCGAGCGUUGUCCGGAAUUAUUGGGCGUAAAGAGCUCGUAGGCGGUCUGUCGCGUCUGCUGUGAAAACUCGGGGCUUAACCCCGGGCCUGCAGUGGGUACGGGCAGACUAGAGUGCGGUAGGGGAGACUGGAAUUCCCGGUGUAGCGGUGAAAUGCGCAGAUAUCGGGAGGAACACCGGUGGCGAAGGCGGUUCUCUGGGCCUGUACUGACGCUGAGGAGCGAAAGCGUGGGGAGCGAACAGG
This 253-nucleotide ribosomal RNA is filed under the name uncultured bacterium. RNAcentral describes it as "partial 16S ribosomal RNA". It matches the Rfam family "Bacterial small subunit ribosomal RNA", at positions 524 to 776 of the family's 1533-position model. The record is from RNAcentral.